GACGAACGCUGGCGGCGUGCCUAACACAUGCAAGUCGAGCGAAUUUUUUCUGCUUCUUCCUCCGUUAAGACUUAGCGGCGAACGUGUGACUAACACGUCAACAACCUGCCUCAUAGUCUGGUCCAACUAUUGGAACCGAUACCUCAUACCUGCUAAUAGCAUUAACUGCAUGUUUGCUGUUUAAAAGCUGUUUUUUCUAACACUAUGAGAUUGCCUUGCUGUGGAUUAGCUAGUUGGUGGGGUAAAGGCCUACCAAGGCGACGAUGCAUAGCCGACCUGAGAGGGUGAUCAGCCACACUGGGACUGAGACACGGCCCAGACUCCUACGGGAGGCAGCAGUAGGGAAUAUUGGGCAAUGGGCGAAAGCCUGACGGAGCAACGCCGCGUGAGUGAAGAAGGAGUUCGGAUCGUAAAGCUCUGUUGUUAGGGAAGAAGGGAAGUAAGGUAACAACACACAGUAGUGACGGUACCUAAAGAGAAAGCCACGGCUAACUACGUG
Molecule: ribosomal RNA, 499 nt
Filed under: uncultured bacterium
Lineage: Bacteria
Description: partial 16S ribosomal RNA
Rfam family: Bacterial small subunit ribosomal RNA
Source: RNAcentral